RNAcentral lists this ribosomal RNA (868 nucleotides) under uncultured Pseudomonadota bacterium. RNAcentral describes it as "bacterial SSU rRNA". It matches the Rfam family "Bacterial small subunit ribosomal RNA", at positions 154 to 1018 of the family's 1533-position model. Lineage: Bacteria; Pseudomonadati; Pseudomonadota. The record is from RNAcentral.
AAAGAUGCGCUAAUACCGCAUAAUCUCUAAGGAGAAAAGCAGGGGAUCGCAAGACCUUGCGCUUUUGGAGCGGCCGAUGUCUGAUUAGCUAGUUGGUGAGGUAAAGGCUUACCAAGGCUUCGAUCAGUAGCUGGUCUGAGAGGACGACCAGCCACACUGGGACUGAGACACGGCCCAGACUCCUACGGGAGGCAGCAGUGGGGAAUUUUGGACAAUGGGGGCAACCCUGAUCCAGCCAUGCCGCGUGAGUGAAGAAGGCCUUCGGGUUGUAAAGCUCUUUCAGCCGGAACGAAAAGGUUACGGUUAAUACCCGUGACUAAUGACGGUACCGGAAGAAGAAGCACCGGCUAACUACGUGCCAGCAGCCGCGGUAAUACGUAGGGUGCGAGCGUUAAUCGGAAUUACUGGGCGUAAAGCGUGCGCAGGCGGUUUUGUAAGUCAGAUGUGAAAUCCCCGGGCUUAACCUGGGAACUGCGUUUGAAACUACAAGGCUAGAGUGUGGCAGAGGGGGGUGGAAUUCCACGUGUAGCAGUGAAAUGCGUAGAGAUGUGGAGGAACACCGAUGGCGAAGGCAGCCCCCUGGGUUAACACUGACGCUCAGGCACGAAAGCGUGCGGAGCAAACAGGAUUAGAUACCCUGGUAGUCCACGCCCUAAACGAUGUCAACUAGUUGUCGGGUCUUAACGGGCUUGGUAACGCAGCUAACGCGUGAAGUUGACCGCCUGGGGAGUACGGUCGCAAGAUUAAAACUCAAAGGAAUUGACGGGGACCCGCACAAGCGGUGGAUUAUGUGGAUUAAUUCGAUGCAACGCGAAAAACCUUACCUACCCUUGACAUGUACCGAAGCCCGCCGAGAGUUGGGCGUGCC